UGCUGAUUGGUAGUCUUUGGUGAA
RNAcentral lists this non-coding RNA (24 nucleotides) under Rattus norvegicus (Norway rat). The record is from RNAcentral. Lineage: Eukaryota; Metazoa; Chordata; Mammalia; Rodentia; Muridae.